Molecule: long non-coding RNA, 689 nt
Filed under: Citrus maxima (pomelo)
Lineage: Eukaryota; Viridiplantae; Streptophyta; Magnoliopsida; Sapindales; Rutaceae
Description: long non-coding RNA (CMAX_LNC000831)
Source: RNAcentral
ACAAACAUCAUAAAAAAAUGCCUCAAAGAUUGCAUAAAGUAUAUACCUCAAAGAAAAUUAAAAAUAUUGGCAAAGUUCUAACUUUAAUUCAAUAGUCAGCCUCAUCUCAUAUUGGAUUCCUGUGUUGUGUGUGAAUCAAUUCAAUUAAAACUUAUUCUCAAAAUCUUCAACAUCAACAGCCCUUGUAUUGAAUAAUAAACAGAGUAUGUCAAACUAACCUCAUCAUCUUAAUUUUUUUUUCACAGGCAUAAAUUUGCAUUUUCUUUUUAUUUUUCUUGAUGCACGUUCUUAUUUUUCUUUUUUUUUCUUUUCUUUGUUCAUAGUCAGGAGCUUUCACUCUACCUCUUAAGGUAGCCUUCUUCUCAUGGUAGAUUAUCCUCUACAUUCUGGUGGUACAUAGGCCCAAAUUACUCAAUGAUAGCUUCACUCUUAAGGGUUAUAGGUAGCUAUUUCUGACUAUGGUGCCUGGGUAAACUUAAGUAAUGUAGAAUCAAGGUAAACAGUCAUUUACUCAAUCUAAAAUUCUCAACUCAGGCUGUAUCAAUCUCAAAUCUCAAGUCAAAAUUCUGAAAGAAUCGAUAUAAGUGCGCAAAAUAUUUAAAGAAUCACAAUCAAGACGAAACUAACACAAGAAUCAAGUAUAAACUAAGACAAUAUUCAUCCCUUUCUAAGAACCAUAUUCAUUUUCA